ACACACAUCAGUUUAUUUCCUGUUUUCGCCUUAAACCAGCCUUUCUCAAACUGUGGGAACCCUGCCCCCCCUAGUGGUCCGGAGGGUACUGCAUGUAAACGACCGUUUAUUUGCCGAGACGUGAGGUCAAAGUGCGACGCUACAGUUAGCUUAGCUAAAAAGAAUAAUGGAUACGUGGCUUAAAACCGGGUGACUCUAAAGAAAAACUGAACAUACCAGAGGAAAGAAAACAACGUCCGGACUAUUUAUAUCAGAGGAAGCCGAGUCAGACCUACUGAGAGGAUUGAGUCGUUCGCAAGCGACUCGAUUCUUUUCAACGGCUCUAUGUCGUGAACGGUUCCAGUCUCAGCUGCUGCUGUCACCUCGGAGCAAGUGGAAGUGGUCUGGGUAGAGCAGCUUGAAGCCAAACAGGGUGAGAAUGACCUCAACAGAGAAGGAGCCUCGGUCCACAAAGUCGCCAUUGAAGAGCUGGAAGCUGUGGUUAAGGUAACUGCACAUCUAGGCUGAAUAUAAUUAUCUGCAGAGUUCCCCAAUGUUCCAUCCUAAGUCCUCUCCUUUUCAUCAUCUACAUGCUUGUUGGUGUUAUUGUUUAUUUAUUUCAAAAUGUACAAUACAUAGUACAAAAUAUUCCAAAGUUAGCCAAAAAGGCAUCUGUAUUCUCUACUUGUGUUGUUCCAUCACAUAAAAUCCCAAUAAAAUGCAUUAAA
Long non-coding RNA from Poecilia latipinna (sailfin molly), 707 nucleotides. RefSeq lists it as uncharacterized. The record is from RefSeq and is a predicted model, not a curated record. NCBI's taxonomy places the organism in Eukaryota, Metazoa, Chordata, Actinopteri, Cyprinodontiformes, Poeciliidae. The transcript is spliced from 3 exons.